Molecule: ribosomal RNA, 497 nt
Filed under: uncultured bacterium
Lineage: Bacteria
Description: partial 16S ribosomal RNA
Rfam family: Bacterial small subunit ribosomal RNA
Source: RNAcentral
GAUGAACGCUGGCGGCGUGCCUAAUACAUGCAAGUCGAGCGAACAGACGAGGAGCUUGCUCCUCUGACGUUAGCGGCGGACGGGUGAGUAACACGUGGAUAACCUACCUAUAAGACUGGGAUAACUUCGGGAAACCGGAGCUAAUACCGGAUAAUAUAUUGAACCGCAUGGUUCAAUAGUGAAAGACGGUUUUGCUGUCACUUAUAGAUGGAUCCGCGCCGCAUUAGCUAGUUGGUAAGGUAACGGCUUACCAAGGCAACGAUGCGUAGCCGACCUGAGAGGGUGAUCGGCCACACUGGAACUGAGACACGGUCCAGACUCCUACGGGAGGCAGCAGUAGGGAAUCUUCCGCAAUGGGCGAAAGCCUGACGGAGCAACGCCGCGUGAGUGAUGAAGGUCUUCGGAUCGUAAUACUCUGUUAUUAGGGAAGAACAAAUGUGUAAGUAACUAUGCACGUCUUGACGGUACCUAAUCAGAAAGCCACGGCUAACUACGUG